CCUACGGGUGGCUGCAGUGAGGAAUAUUGGUCAAUGGGCGCGAGCCUGAACCAGCCAAGUAGCGUGAGGGAUGACUGCCCUACGGGUUGUAAACUUCUUUUGCACAGGAAUAAAGUGAUGCACGUGUGCCUGUCUGCAGGUACUUUAUGAAUAAGGAUCGGCUAACUCCGUGCCAGCAGCCGCGGUAAUACGGAGGACCCGAGCGUUAUCCGGAUUUAUUGGGUUUAAAGGGAGCGUAGAUGGGUUGUUAAGUCAGGUGGGAAAGUGUGCGGCUCAACCGUAAAAUUGCAAUUGAUACUGGCAGUCUUGAGUACAGUAGAGGUAGGCGGAAUUCGUGGUGUAGCGGUGAAAUGCAUAGAUAUCACGAAGAACUCCGAUUGCGAAGGCAGCCUAC
RNAcentral lists this ribosomal RNA (394 nucleotides) under uncultured bacterium. Its description in RNAcentral is "partial 16S ribosomal RNA". It matches the Rfam family "Bacterial small subunit ribosomal RNA", at positions 338 to 729 of the family's 1533-position model. The record is from RNAcentral.